UACGUAGGGUGCGAGCGUUAAUCGGAAUUACUGGGCGUAAAGAGCUCGUAGGCGGUCUGUCGCGUCUGCUGUGAAAACUCGGGGCUUAACCCCGGGCCUGCAGUGGGUACGGGCAGACUAGAGUGCGGUAGGGGAGACUGGAAUUCCUGGUGUAGCGGUGAAAUGCGCAGAUAUCAGGAGGAACACCGGUGGCGAAGGCGGGUCUCUGGGCAGUAACUGACGCUGAGGAGCGAAAGCGUGGGGAGCAAACAGG
RNAcentral lists this ribosomal RNA (253 nucleotides) under uncultured bacterium. Its description in RNAcentral is "partial 16S ribosomal RNA". It matches the Rfam family "Bacterial small subunit ribosomal RNA", at positions 524 to 776 of the family's 1533-position model. The record is from RNAcentral.